RNAcentral lists this ribosomal RNA (1058 nucleotides) under Pseudomonas tolaasii. Its description in RNAcentral is "bacterial SSU rRNA". It matches the Rfam family "Bacterial small subunit ribosomal RNA", at positions 34 to 1084 of the family's 1533-position model. The record is from RNAcentral. Lineage: Bacteria; Pseudomonadati; Pseudomonadota; Gammaproteobacteria; Pseudomonadales; Pseudomonadaceae.
CGGCCAAGGCCGGCAGCCUACCAUGCAGUCGAGCGGUAGAGAGAAGCUUGCUUCUCUUGAGAGCGGCGGACGGGUGAGUAAUGCCUAGGAAUCUGCCUGGUAGUGGGGGAUAACGUCCGGAAACGGACGCUAAUACCGCAUACGUCCUACGGGAGAAAGCAGGGGACCUUCGGGCCUUGCGCUAUCAGAUGAGCCUAGGUCGGAUUAGCUAGUUGGUGAGGUAAUGGCUCACCAAGGCGACGAUCCGUAACUGGUCUGAGAGGAUGAUCAGUCACACUGGAACUGAGACACGGUCCAGACUCCUACGGGAGGCAGCAGUGGGGAAUAUUGGACAAUGGGCGAAAGCCUGAUCCAGCCAUGCCGCGUGUGUGAAGAAGGUCUUCGGAUUGUAAAGCACUUUAAGUUGGGAGGAAGGGCAGUUGCCUAAUACGUAACUGUUUUGACGUUACCGACAGAAUAAGCACCGGCUAACUCUGUGCCAGCAGCCGCGGUAAUACAGAGGGUGCAAGCGUUAAUCGGAAUUACUGGGCGUAAAGCGCGCGUAGGUGGUUUGUUAAGUUGGAUGUGAAAUCCCCGGGCUCAACCUGGGAACUGCAUUCAAAACUGACUGACUAGAGUAUGGUAGAGGGUGGUGGAAUUUCCUGUGUAGCGGUGAAAUGCGUAGAUAUAGGAAGGAACACCAGUGGCGAAGGCGACCACCUGGACUAAUACUGACACUGAGGUGCGAAAGCGUGGGGAGCAAACAGGAUUAGAUACCCUGGUAGUCCACGCCGUAAACGAUGUCAACUAGCCGUUGGAAGCCUUGAGCUUUUAGUGGCGCAGCUAACGCAUUAAGUUGACCGCCUGGGGAGUACGGCCGCAAGGUUAAAACUCAAAUGAAUUGACGGGGGCCCGCACAAGCGGUGGAGCAUGUGGUUUAAUUCGAAGCAACGCGAAGAACCUUACCAGGCCUUGACAUCCAAUGAACUUUCCAGAGAUGGAUUGGUGCCUUCGGGAACAUUGAGACAGGUGCUGCAUGCCUGUCGUCAGCCUCGUGUCGUGAGAUGUUUGGGGUUAAA